CGGGAUGUGGCGCAGCUUGGUAGCGCACCUGACUGGGGGUCAGGGGGUCGCAGGUUCAAAUCCUGUCAUCCCGACAA
Molecule: transfer RNA, 77 nt
Filed under: Microbacterium pygmaeum
Lineage: Bacteria; Bacillati; Actinomycetota; Actinomycetes; Micrococcales; Microbacteriaceae
Also listed under: 2 other names
Description: tRNA_Pro_GGG
Rfam family: tRNA
About the family: Transfer RNA (tRNA) molecules are approximately 80 nucleotides in length. Their secondary structure includes four short double-helical elements and three loops (D, anti-codon, and T loops). Further hydrogen bonds mediate the characteristic L-shaped molecular structure. tRNAs have two regions of fundamental functional importance: the anti-codon, which is responsible for specific mRNA codon recognition, and the 3' end, to which the tRNAs corresponding amino acid is attached (by aminoacyl-tRNA synthetases). tRNAs cope with the degeneracy of the genetic code in two manners: having more than one tRNA (with a specific anti-codon) for a particular amino acid; and 'wobble' base-pairing, i.e. permitting non-standard base-pairing at the 3rd anti-codon position.
Source: RNAcentral